This 207-nucleotide ribosomal RNA is filed under the name uncultured bacterium. Its description in RNAcentral is "partial 16S ribosomal RNA". It matches the Rfam family "Bacterial small subunit ribosomal RNA", at positions 568 to 774 of the family's 1533-position model. The record is from RNAcentral.
CGCGUAGGUGGUUAGGUAAGCGAGAUGUGAAAGCCCCGGGCUUAACCUGGGAACGGCAUUUCGAACUGUCUGACUAGAGUAUGGUAGAGGGUAGUGGAAUUUCCUGUGUAGCGGUGAAAUGCGUAGAUAUAGGAAGGAACACCAGUGGCGAAGGCGGCUACCUGGACCAAUACUGACACUGAGGUGCGAAAGCGUGGAGAGCAAACA